CCUGAUGGAGGGGGAUAACUACUGGAAACGGUAGCUAAUACCGCAUAACGUCGCAAGACCAAAGUGGGGGACCUUCGGGCCUCAUGCCAUCAGAUGUGCCCAGAUGGGAUUAGCUAGUAGGUGGGGUAACGGCUCACCUAGGCGACGAUCCCUAGCUGGUCUGAGAGGAUGACCAGCCACACUGGAACUGAGACACGGUCCAGACUCCUACGGGAGGCAGCAGUGGGGAAUAUUGCACAAUGGGCGCAAGCCUGAUGCAGCCAUGCCGCGUGUGUGAAGAAGGCCUUCGGGUUGUAAAGCACUUUCAGCGGGGAGGAAGGCGGUGAGGUUAAUAACCUUGUCGAUUGACGUUACCCGCAGAAGAAGCACCGGCUAACUCCGUGCCAGCAGCCGCGGUAAUACGGAGGGUGCAAGCGUUAAUCGGAAUUACUGGGCGUAAAGCGCACGCAGGCGGUCUGUCAAGUCGGAUGUGAAAUCCCCGGGCUCAACCUGGGAACUGCAUUCGAAACUGGCAGGCUAGAGUCUUGUAGAGGGGGGUAGAAUUCCAGGUGUAGCGGUGAAAUGCGUAGAGAUCUGGAGGAAUACCGGUGGCGAAGGCGGCCCCCUGGACAAAGACUGACGCUCAGGUGCGAAAGCGUGGGGAGCAAACAGGAUUAGAUACCCUGGUAGUCCACGCCGUAAACGAUGUCGAUUUGGAGGUUGUGCCCUUGAGGCGUGGCUUCCGGAGCUAACGCGUUAAAUCGACCGCCUGGGGAGUACGGCCGCAAGGUUAAAACUCAAAUGAAUUGACGGGGGCCCGCACAAGCGGUGGAGCAUGUGGUUUAUUCGAUGCAACGCGAAGAACCUUACCUGGUCUUGACAUCCACAGAACUUUCCAGAGAUGGAUUGGUGCCUUCGGGAACUUGUGAGACAGGUGCUGCAUGGCUGUCGUCAGCUCGUGUGUGAAAUGU
This 950-nucleotide ribosomal RNA is filed under the name Klebsiella sp. Its description in RNAcentral is "bacterial SSU rRNA". It matches the Rfam family "Bacterial small subunit ribosomal RNA", at positions 129 to 1075 of the family's 1533-position model. Lineage: Bacteria; Pseudomonadati; Pseudomonadota; Gammaproteobacteria; Enterobacterales; Enterobacteriaceae. The record is from RNAcentral.